This 1505-nucleotide ribosomal RNA is filed under the name gut metagenome. Its description in RNAcentral is "bacterial SSU rRNA". It matches the Rfam family "Bacterial small subunit ribosomal RNA". The record is from RNAcentral.
AGAGUUUGAUCCUGGCUCAGGAUGAACGCUAGCGACAGGCUUAACACAUGCAAGUCGAGGGGCAGCACAGGUAGCAAUACCGGGUGGCGACCGGCGCACGGGUGAGUAACGCGUAUGCAACUUACCUAUCAGAGGGGGAUAACCCGGCGAAAGUCGGACUAAUACCGCAUGAAGCAGGGGCCCCGCAUGGGGAUAUUUGCUAAAGAUUCAUCGCUGAUAGAUAGGCAUGCGUUCCAUUAGGCAGUUGGCGGGGUAACGGCCCACCAAACCGACGAUGGAUAGGGGUUCUGAGAGGAAGGUCCCCCACAUUGGUACUGAGACACGGACCAAACUCCUACGGGAGGCAGCAGUGAGGAAUAUUGGUCAAUGGCCGAGAGGCUGAACCAGCCAAGUCGCGUGAGGGAUGAAGGUUCUAUGGAUCGUAAACCUCUUUUAUAAGGGAAUAAAGUGCGGGACGUGUCCCGUUUUGUAUGUACCUUAUGAAUAAGGAUCGGCUAACUCCGUGCCAGCAGCCGCGGUAAUACGGAGGAUCCGAGCGUUAUCCGGAUUUAUUGGGUUUAAAGGGUGCGUAGGCGGCCUUUUAAGUCAGCGGUGAAAGUCUGUGGCUCAACCAUAGAAUUGCCGUUGAAACUGGGGGGCUUGAGUAUGUUUGAGGCAGGCGGAAUGCGUGGUGUAGCGGUGAAAUGCAUAGAUAUCACGCAGAACCCCGAUUGCGAAGGCAGCCUGCCAAGCCAUUACUGACGCUGAUGCACGAAAGCGUGGGGAUCAAACAGGAUUAGAUACCCUGGUAGUCCACGCAGUAAACGAUGAUCACUAGCUGUUUGCGAUACACUGUAAGCGGCACAGCGAAAGCGUUAAGUGAUCCACCUGGGGAGUACGCCGGCAACGGUGAAACUCAAAGGAAUUGACGGGGGCCCGCACAAGCGGAGGAACAUGUGGUUUAAUUCGAUGAUACGCGAGGAACCUUACCCGGGUUUGAACGCAUUCGGACCGAGGUGGAAACACCUUUUCUAGCAAUAGCCGUUUGCGAGGUGCUGCAUGGUUGUCGUCAGCUCGUGCCGUGAGGUGUCGGCUUAAGUGCCAUAACGAGCGCAACCCUUGCCACUAGUUACUAACAGGUAAAGCUGAGGACUCUGGUGGGACUGCCAGCGUAAGCUGCGAGGAAGGCGGGGAUGACGUCAAAUCAGCACGGCCCUUACAUCCGGGGCGACACACGUGUUACAAUGGCGUGGACAAAGGGAGGCCACCUGGCGACAGGGAGCGAAUCCCCAAACCACGUCUCAGUUCGGAUCGGAGUCUGCAACCCGACUCCGUGAAGCUGGAUUCGCUAGUAAUCGCGCAUCAGCCAUGGCGCGGUGAAUACGUUCCCGGGCCUUGUACACACCGCCCGUCAAGCCAUGGGAGCCGGGGGUACCUGAAGUCCGUAACCGCGAGGAUCGGCCUAGGGUAAAACUGGUGACUGGGGCUAAGUCGUAACAAGGUAGCCGUACCGGAAGGUGCGGCUG